CGGACGUGGGGCUCCGGGUGCCGCGGAGCAGCUGCCGGCGAGAGAGCAAGCGGAGCCCGGCCCGAAGAAAGAUUUGCAGCUGCGAUGCUGAGUAUCGCUGCCUGUGUGGAAGGGGGUGAAGAGGAGCAGCCGUGUUGUGUCUGAGCAGCUCUGCCUCUCCAGGCGCUGACUUCUACGGCCUUUUCCUCAGGGUUGUGUCUGGCUGCCUCUCACAGCCCAGGCAAGGAGAUUUUCCUCCUAGUGCCUCCAAGGAUUAUCCCCUUGGACACUGAGAUUAAUGUCUUCCAUCCAUGAACAAAACUCUUUCUGCAGCAAGAAAUAUUGAAUAUGGGGAAUGAACUGGAAGAACCUGCCAUCCUGUCCUGCCA
Molecule: long non-coding RNA, 368 nt
Organism: Heterocephalus glaber (naked mole-rat)
Lineage: Eukaryota; Metazoa; Chordata; Mammalia; Rodentia; Bathyergidae
Source: Ensembl